GGCUCAGGACGAACGCGGGCGGCGUGCCUAUACAUGCAAGUCGAGCGGACAGAAGGGAGCUUGCUCCCGGAUGUUAGCGGCGGACGGGUGAGUAACACGUGGGUAACCUGCCUGUAAGACUGGGAUAACUCCGGGAAACCGGAGCUAAUACCGGAUAGUUCCUUGAACCGCAUGGUUCAAGGAUGAAAGACGGUUUCGGCUGUCACUUACAGAUGGACCCGCGGCGCAUUAGCUAGUUGGUGAGGUAACGGCUCACCAAGGCGACGAUGCGUAGCCGACCUGAGAGGGUGAUCGGCCACACUGGGACUGAGACACGGCCCAGACUCCUACGGGAGGCAGCAGUAGGGAAUCUUCCGCAAUGGACGAAAGUCUGACGGAGCAACGCCGCGUGAGUGAUGAAGGUUUUCGGAUCGUAAAGCUCUGUUGUUAGGGAAGAACAAGUGCAAGAGUAACUGCUUGCACCUUGACGGUACCUAACCAGAAAGCCACGGCUAACUACGUGCCAGCAGCCGCGGUAAUACGUAGGUGGCAAGCGUUGUCCGGAAUUAUUGGGCGUAAAGGGCUCGCAGGCGGUUUCUUAAGUCUGAUGUGAAAGCCCCCGGCUCAACCGGGGAGGGUCAUUGGAAACUGGGAAACUUGAGUGCAGAAGAGGAGAGUGGAAUUCCACGUGUAGCGGUGAAAUGCGUAGAGAUGUGGAGGAACACCAGUGGCGAAGGCGACUCUCUGGUCUGUAACUGACGCUGAGGAGCGAAAGCGUGGGGAGCGAACAGGAUUAGAUACCCUGGUAGUCCACGCCGUAAACGAUGAGUGCUAAGUGUUAGGGGGUUUCCGCCCCUUAGUGCUGCAGCUAACGCAUUAAGCACUCCGCCUGGGGAGUACGGUCGCAAGACUGAAACUCAAAGGAAUUGACGGGGGCCCGCACAAGCGGUGGAGCAUGUGGUUUAAUUCGAAGCAACGCGAAGAACCUUACCAGGUCUUGACAUCCUCUGACAACCCUAGAGAUAGGGCUUUCCCUUCGGGGACAGAGUGACAGGUGGUGCAUGGUUGUCGUCAGCUCGUGUCGUGAGAUGUUGGGUUAAGUCCCGCAACG
RNAcentral lists this ribosomal RNA (1090 nucleotides) under Bacillus stratosphericus. RNAcentral describes it as "bacterial SSU rRNA". It matches the Rfam family "Bacterial small subunit ribosomal RNA", at positions 21 to 1094 of the family's 1533-position model. The record is from RNAcentral. Lineage: Bacteria; Bacillati; Bacillota; Bacilli; Caryophanales; Bacillaceae.